CCUGCCCUUGAAGCUUGAUUGGCGGCGUCCAUGUUGUCGUCAAACAGGUGAAACGCCAGUCUUCAGCACGUCCUGUGUGUUCAGGACACACCUGGAUGACGCACGCUACCUGGCAAAAGUCCUGGAACAACAAAGGAGGAGAAGGAAGGAGCAAGGUCAUGACGGGAAACGACAGGUGGCGACGGCGAGUGGAACGCCGCUGCUGCUGGUGAGGAGGAGAGACGAGAAGCGCAG
Molecule: long non-coding RNA, 234 nt
Organism: Entelurus aequoreus (snake pipefish)
Lineage: Eukaryota; Metazoa; Chordata; Actinopteri; Syngnathiformes; Syngnathidae
Exons: 3
Source: RefSeq, a predicted model, not a curated record